CUCAAAUCAGGUAGGACUACCCGCUGAACUUAAGCAUAUCAU
RNAcentral lists this ribosomal RNA (42 nucleotides) under Papiliotrema laurentii. Its description in RNAcentral is "partial 28S ribosomal RNA". Lineage: Eukaryota; Fungi; Basidiomycota; Tremellomycetes; Tremellales; Rhynchogastremaceae. The record is from RNAcentral.